This 259-nucleotide long non-coding RNA is filed under the name Lathyrus oleraceus (garden pea). RNAcentral describes it as "Pisum sativum (pea) long non-coding RNA (PSAT_LNC036955)". The record is from RNAcentral. Lineage: Eukaryota; Viridiplantae; Streptophyta; Magnoliopsida; Fabales; Fabaceae.
CUAAAUAAAAAAAAACAAAAAAAAACAAAAACAACAACAACGAAUUGCUUCAUCAUCCUCCUCUCUCCCAAUCUCACUUUCACGAAAUCAAAACUCACAAUCUCCGUUUUUCUCUCUCGCUUCCCUCUACGAAUCUCACACCAAAUCCCUCUCACAACUCGUCUCUCUCCCAAUCGCGUGAAACUUUGAAAGAAAGCUCACCUUUGUGGUGAAUCAGUAGCUCAGGUAACGACCGAAUCUCCUUCCUUCGCCUCUUUCA